This 495-nucleotide ribosomal RNA is filed under the name uncultured bacterium. RNAcentral describes it as "partial 16S ribosomal RNA". It matches the Rfam family "Bacterial small subunit ribosomal RNA", at positions 28 to 507 of the family's 1533-position model. The record is from RNAcentral.
GACGAACGCUGGCGGCGUGCCUAAUACAUGCAAGUAGAACGCUGAAGGAGGAGCUUGCUUCUCUGGAUGAGUUGCGAACGGGUGAGUAACGCGUAGGUAACCUGCCUGGUAGCGGGGGAUAACUAUUGGAAACGAUAGCUAAUACCGCAUAAGAGUAGAUGUUGCAUGACAUUUACUUAAAAGGUGCAAUUGCAUCACUACCAGAUGGACCUGCGUUGUAUUAGCUAGUUGGUGAGGUAACGGCUCACCAAGGCAACGAUACAUAGCCGACCUGAGAGGGUGAUCGGCCACACUGGGACUGAGACACGGCCCAGACUCCUACGGGAGGCAGCAGUAGGGAAUCUUCGGCAAUGGACGGAAGUCUGAACGAGCAACGCCGCGUGAGUGAAGAAGGGUUUCGGAUCGUAAAGCUCUGUUGUAAGAGAAGAACGAGUGUGAGAGUGGAAAGUUCACACUGUGACGGUAUCUUACCAGAAAGGGACGGCUAACUACGUG